This 506-nucleotide ribosomal RNA is filed under the name uncultured Azospirillum sp. Its description in RNAcentral is "bacterial SSU rRNA". It matches the Rfam family "Bacterial small subunit ribosomal RNA", at positions 283 to 806 of the family's 1533-position model. The record is from RNAcentral. Lineage: Bacteria; Pseudomonadati; Pseudomonadota; Alphaproteobacteria; Rhodospirillales; Azospirillaceae.
GUAGCUGGUCUGAGAGGAUGAUCAGCCACACUGGGACUGAGAUACGGCCCAGACUCCUACGGGAGGCAGCAGUGGGGAAUAUUGGACAAUGGGGGCAACCCUGAUCCAGCAAUGCCGCGUGAGUGAUGAAGGCCUUAGGGUUGUAAAGCUCUUUUACCAGGGACGAUGAUGACGGUACCUGGAGAAUAAGCCCCGGCUAACUUCGUGCCAGCAGCCGCGGUAAUACGAAGGGGGCUAGCGUUGUUCGGAAUUACUGGGCGUAAAGGGCGCGUAGGCGGCCGAUCAAGUCAGAUGUGAAAGUCCUGGGCUUAACCUGGGGACUGCAUUUGAUACUGAUUGGCUUGAAUUCGGGAGAGGAUAGCGGAAUUCCCAGUGUAGAGGUGAAAUUCGUAGAUAUUGGGAAGAACACCGGUGGCGAAGGCGGCUAUCUGGACCGACAUUGACGCUGAGGCGCGAAAGCGUGGGGAGCAAUCAGGAUUAGAUACCCUGGUAGUCCACGCCGUAAA